Molecule: long non-coding RNA, 1414 nt
Filed under: Linum usitatissimum (flax)
Lineage: Eukaryota; Viridiplantae; Streptophyta; Magnoliopsida; Malpighiales; Linaceae
Description: long non-coding RNA (LUSI_LNC006895)
Source: RNAcentral
CAUUUCAUCCGAGCCUAUGCCCGAGUCGACUAGACCCGCAGGCAGUGAAUGAAGAAAACCACAGAGUGCAGCAGCUUUCUUGUUAUCCAUUUGCCCUGCAAAGGAGUUAAUUUCUUCUGAUCAUGGUACUGCUGUGAGUAUGGUUAGCUUUUUUCUGAACCACAUCUCAUUCUGGAAAACAGUGUACAGGUUUUGCUGACAAAAGUUGUCUCAAGGUUUAAUGUUGUAAGUUACUCUCUCAAAGGAAGGAGAUUUGUUGUGUGAACUCUAGUUCGGAUUUUGCUGCUUUUGUUGGAAUAUCCAUGGCUUUUAUAGUGUGUAAGAUCUUAUAGAAUGUGAGUUGCUUUAACAUCUUCAGAUUCAACCAAAAUUGGGAAUUUUAUAGAAAAGAGCUCUUCAAUGGGAAGGAGGAGCCAGGACGUACGAGUGUUGUUUCCUUCACUCGAGGGACAGUUCAUAUCUUGCCGCAAAGUCGUAUGUUCGUCCGUCUUGUUCUUCUUCUUACCUCUGUCAAGUGAACCAUUGGCAGACUUCCUCUUCACAUCGACCAGCUUGAACCGACAUAACUCGUUGAUCCUGCUCUUCUUCUUCAUCAGAUUGCAUCUUCAUUAGAUGUGCGUGCCUUACUCAACUUCAUGCAAAAGCGUCUGCCUCCUCUCCUUUGCAAACGCAAGCUGCUUCUUCUUCGAAACAAAUUCCUGAAAUCCACAAUUUGCACAAAUAUAUUAUGAUUUUGAGACACUACUAACUCGAGAAGAAAAAAGGACACUGUUGCAGAUUCAAGAAAUCCCGAAACAGUACUUUCUGCCUGGCUCUAAACCUAGUUUCCUCGUCUUCUAUAGAAUAUUCAGAUUGGUGAGUGUCACGGACAACGGAGACCCUUCUCUUGUUGUUGUUCUUCAUUCGCUUGGUUUCAAGAUCAGACAUGCGUACCCUCUUUCUGGAAAAAGCUUGAAACUUUGUGAAGGAAAUCAGGAACCCAGAACUGAAUAGCGAGGGAGGAAGGCCGCGAACCUUGAGUCCCAAAUCCAAAUCAGGAAAGGAAAUUAUCGGUGGAAAUUUUGAUGGAAGGGAAGGGAAGGAAGCGUAAAGAAUAAAAGGAAGUAUGCAAACGAGUCGAACCCUCUGAUCCGUUUUCCAUGAAUGAAUGAAUGACACAGGGAGGGAGAGAGGGAGCAGACGAAAAGGAGGAAGAAGAAAGCGGGUAAAGGUUAAUAUGUACAGGUCAGCAAUAGCGGAAGAGCGUAAUUCGAAAUUACUGGGCGAUGCUUUUGGUCUGUCCACCCACCUUUGGUUGGGCAAUUACUCGUCAAUGAGAUGAGUUAUUUUGUAAGAUUUAUGAGGUGUAAAUGGUUUUAGUAACUUGUUUGACUUAUAUGUUAUUAGAUAUUUAAAUUCUAAUCUGAUAUUUGAU